RNAcentral lists this transfer-messenger RNA (355 nucleotides) under Candidatus Doriopsillibacter californiensis. It matches the Rfam family "transfer-messenger RNA". Rfam says of the family: Bacterial tmRNA, also known as 10Sa RNA or SsrA, is named for its dual tRNA and mRNA-like properties. Its role is to liberate the mRNA from a stalled ribosome. Lineage: Bacteria; Pseudomonadati; Pseudomonadota; Gammaproteobacteria; Candidatus Tethybacterales; Candidatus Persebacteraceae. The record is from RNAcentral.
GGGGGCGCAUUUUGGGCUUUGACGUGAGUUGCAAAGCAGACGGAGCAUGCCAAGCUAAGACGCCUUGUAAAACCGUUUUAAAAAAAAACAUAAACGCGAAUGACCAGCGUUUCGCUUUAGCCGCUUAAUCCGGCUAAGCCUUCACCCCAGAGGGUUCGCACUCUGGUCAGUGGAGUCAUCUUGCGAACUCGCUAUUUAUUGUGCUGUCUAAUAAAUAGUUAAACUUUUGAUGGCUGGCGUUGUGUUCGCUACGUUUAGCGGGCCUGCACAAUGCGACAACGAACGCUAAACUAAGCAUGUAGCGCCGGUUGUGUAGCCCUUGCGGACGGGGGUUCGAAUCCCCCCGCCUCCACCA